Molecule: ribosomal RNA, 253 nt
Filed under: uncultured bacterium
Lineage: Bacteria
Description: partial 16S ribosomal RNA
Rfam family: Bacterial small subunit ribosomal RNA
Source: RNAcentral
UACGUAGGGUGCAAGCGUUGUCCGGAAUUAUUGGGCGUAAAGAGCUCGUAGGCGGUCUGUUGCGUCGGCUGUGAAAACCCGAGGCUCAACCUCGGGCCUGCAGCCGAUACGGGCAGACUAGAGUUCGGCAGGGGAGACUGGAGUUCCUGGUGUAGCGGUGAAAUGCGCAGAUAUCAGGAGGAACACCAAUAGCGAAGGCAGCUCGCUGGGACGUUACUGACACUGAGGCGCGAAAGCGUGGGGAGCGAACAGG